CCAUAUAGAGCAAGUUUCUAAGAAAUACUUGUAGGAGUCAAUUAGGAUUGAGGACAAUAAUUGAGUAUUAUGUUUAGGAACCUAGUUUGACCUAGUCUCAUGAUAAUUGUGCUUUGAUGAUGUGAAUAGUUUACUAGUUAAUUAUAUUUACCGUCAUACAGCUUCCGCAUGCAUGGCAUAGAGUGCUAAUAAUGGUUUCCAUAGACUAUGAGUUAUUUUUCACGUACUUUGGUCCUACCACUUAGUCAUGAGUUCCAUAGCCUCUUGGGUUGACCAAGUACCUUGUAGGGACAAAUGGGGUGCAACCCAUAUUCGUAAACUAACCAACAGAAGUUAGGGUCUACUUGUUACACAUGACUUAGUUGUCACCCAUAAAGGAUAUCAAUAGUCAUAGAGAGUAUACUACUCAAUUCAUAUCAGUGGUGCCUAGUAGGAGUGCCAUGACCUUUUUACUGACCCAGCUCGAGUGGUGUAGUGACAUGUAAUUUUACUGUUCUAGCCUGGAAGAGUGUAGUGAUAGGUAGUUUAAUGUUCUAGCCUGAAAGAGGCAAAGUAAUAGGUAGUUACUGUUUCUAAGAUGGGUAGUUUAAUGUCCCAGCUUGGAAAGGGUAUAGUGACAAGUAGUUUUACUGUUCUAACCUGCUGAGGGUACAUGGGCAGGUAAUUACUGUUCUAGCCUGGAAUGGGCGUAGUGACAAGUAGUUUACUGAUCUUAGGAACAUGUAGAUGUUGCCCGACACCAUUAGGGAGAAUCUACUAAUUAGAGCUCAGUAGGGAGAUAGGUAUGGAGUACAGUCACUGUUUAGAGCAGAAAGGGCUCUUUCCAUAUUGAUGGGUAUUACCUUAGGCCUUUUCAUGGGCGGGUGACUCGAGGUACUCCUCCCACAAGACUGAUGAAGGACCUAGACAUACGUGACACCUAGAGCCAAGAAAACAAAAAACCCUCGGUUGUGAACAUGAGAGGGAUUGAGUACUCCUUAAAGGAGGUACGCUGAGGGUAGUUGUACAGUGACUACCAAGUUUGGUAUAGCCGUUUAGCCACAGUUUGGGUGAUCGUUA
Cucurbita maxima (winter squash) is the source of this 1059-nucleotide long non-coding RNA. RefSeq lists it as uncharacterized. The record is from RefSeq and is a predicted model, not a curated record. The transcript is spliced from 2 exons. Lineage: Eukaryota; Viridiplantae; Streptophyta; Magnoliopsida; Cucurbitales; Cucurbitaceae.